Catharus ustulatus (Swainson's thrush) is the source of this 287-nucleotide long non-coding RNA. RefSeq lists it as uncharacterized. Lineage: Eukaryota; Metazoa; Chordata; Aves; Passeriformes; Turdidae. The record is from RefSeq and is a predicted model, not a curated record. The transcript is spliced from 3 exons.
AAAUUCCCAAAAUUUGCCCCAAAAUCCCCCGGAUUUGCCCCAAAAUCGGGGCCGGGGGGGGGCGGGGCCGAGUGACGUCAUCGGGCUGUUCCUGAUGGACGAGGAGUGGGGGAGGGGCGAGGAGGAGGAGCCGGAGUGGGACACGGAGAGCGACGAGAGCCCCCCCGAGGAGGGACCCCCUCCCCAGAGCCCCCCCGGGCCCCCCCUGGCUCGGUCCCUGCCCGUGACCGUGCCCAGCUGGGCCCUGAGAGCCCUGAGAGCCCCCCCGGGACACAGGGACACGAACA